ACCACCACCUUCCAUUAUAUUUUCUUGCCGAAAAAAUGAAGUCCAUCACCCAAAUUAUACUUCCUCUCUUUCUCUCUCUGUUUUUCUCUUCCUCUUGCAACCCCCACCCCUGCCUCCACCUUCUCUUCUUCCCAACAAAAUAAAUUCGAAUAGAAAAAAAUAAAGAGCAGAUCUAAAAUAAAAGAAAAAGAACAAAUUCUGAAAAAGAAAAAAACAUUAAUUUAAAGUGAAAUGAAGAAAAAACACAUAAAAGAAAAAAAAAGAAAUAUGAUGUAUUCAAGGG
Molecule: long non-coding RNA, 283 nt
Filed under: Capsicum annuum
Lineage: Eukaryota; Viridiplantae; Streptophyta; Magnoliopsida; Solanales; Solanaceae
Description: long non-coding RNA (CANN_LNC012490)
Source: RNAcentral